RNAcentral lists this ribosomal RNA (583 nucleotides) under Salmonella enterica. RNAcentral's name for it is "partial 23S ribosomal RNA". It matches the Rfam family "Bacterial large subunit ribosomal RNA", at positions 711 to 1232 of the family's 2925-position model. The record is from RNAcentral. RNAcentral also lists the same sequence under 1 other name. Lineage: Bacteria; Pseudomonadati; Pseudomonadota; Gammaproteobacteria; Enterobacterales; Enterobacteriaceae.
AGACCCGAAACCCGGUGAUCUAGCCAUGGGCAGGUUGAAGGUUGGGUAACACUAACUGGAGGACCGAACCGACUAAUGUUGAAAAAUUAGCGGAUGACCUGUGGCUGGGGGUGAAAGGCCAAUCAAACCGGGAGAUAGCUGGUUCUCCCCGAAAGCUAUUUAGGUAGCGCCUCGUGAAUUCAUCUCCGGGGGUAGAGCACUGUUUCGGCUAGGGGGCCAUCCCGGCUUACCAACCCGAUGCAAACUGCGAAUACCGGAGAAUGUUAUCACGGGAGACACACGGCGGGUGCUAACGUCCGUCGUGAAGAGGGAAACAACCCAGACCGCCAGCUAAGGUCCCAAAGUCAUGGUUAAGUGGGAAACGAUGUGGGAAGGCCCAGACAGCCAGGAUGUUGGCUUAGAAGCAGCCAUCAUUUAAAGAAAGCGUAAUAGCUCACUGGUCGAGUCGGCCUGCGCGGAAGAUGUAACGGGGCUAAACCAUGCACCGAAGCUGCGGCAGCGAACGUAUCACCCAAGACAACUUUACGGAGUUGACGAUUGACGGAGCGAAGCGACGUCAAAGCGUUCAUUAAAGUCGAGUUGG